This 497-nucleotide ribosomal RNA is filed under the name uncultured Anaerolineaceae bacterium. RNAcentral's name for it is "bacterial SSU rRNA". It matches the Rfam family "Bacterial small subunit ribosomal RNA", at positions 903 to 1382 of the family's 1533-position model. The record is from RNAcentral. Lineage: Bacteria; Bacillati; Chloroflexota; Anaerolineae; Anaerolineales; Anaerolineaceae.
CUAUGCGCCUUGCCACGCCCGCUCAGAAACUCAAAGGAAGUGACGGGACCCGCACAAGCAGCGGAGCGUGUGGUUUAAUUCGUGCUACACGAAGAACCUUACCUAGGUUUGACAUAUAGGUUGUAGGGAACUAGAAAAGGGACCGACCCUUCGGGGAGCCUAUACAGGUGUUGCAUGGCUGUCGUCAGCUCGUGUCGUGAGAUGUUCGGUUAAGUCCGCUAACGAGCGCAACCCUCGUCGUAUGUUACAAGUGUCAUACGAGACUGACCGGUAAAAGUCGGAGGAAGGUGAGGAUGAUGUCAAGUCAGCAUGACCUUUAUAUCUAGGGCUACACACACGCUACAAUGGUCUGUACAAUGGGUUGCCAAGCCGCAGGCGGAGCCAAUCCUAAAAAGCAAGCCUCAGUUCAGAUUGCAGUCUGCAACCCGACUGCAUGAAGCCGGAGUUGCUAGUAACCGCAGGUCAGCAAUACUGCGGUGAAUACGUUCCCGGGUCUU